UGGGUGUCUUGGGAUAAGAUGACGAGACCAAAAAGUGAAGGGGGCAUGGGCUUUCGUGACCUCAGAAUUUUUAGUCAGACGCUUUUGGCUAAACAAGCUUGACGUUUAUUGGUUUUUACGGACUCUUUGUGUGCAAAGGUGAUGAAAGCUAAAUAUUAUCCUUAUGGGCAUCUUAUAGAUACGGUUUUUCCUCAAGCAACAUCCCUUACGUGGCAAGGAAUUAUGCAUGGACUCGAUCUGCUAAAAAAAGGCAUCAUAUGAAGAGUGGUCGAUGGUUCUAGUAUAAACAUUUGGAGGGAUAAUUGGAUCCCUAGGGAUUCUGGCCUACGAAUAUCUGCUAAAAAGAAUAGAAUUAGGAUCAAAUGGGUGUCCGGGUUAUUCAUGAGUGGGUCUAGGAGUUGGGAUAAGAACCUGAUCAGGCAUCUUUUCUAUAUUCAUGAUGCAGAGGAAAUUCUAAAGUUGCGUAUUCUCAGGUUGAAUGAAGGUGAUGUUAUUGCUUGGCAUUAUGAGAAAAGUGGUUUGUUCUCUGUGAAAAGUGCGUAUAGGCUGGCACUGAAUCUACAGGAAUCAAAGGUUGAUCCAGGUAACUCUAGUGGUGCCAAGAAUGAGGAAAGGAGGCUCUGGAAUAUAAUUUGGAAGGCUAACGUCCCCCAGAAAAUUAGAAUAUUUGCAUGGAGGGCUGCUUCUAAUAGUUUGGCAGUUCAAGUUAACAGGGUUAAACACCAUCAAGCUAUUCUAGGUACGUGCUCGAUUUGUGGUAUUGAAGAUGAAUGUAUUUUUCACGCAUUGGUGAGUUGCCCCAAGGCUCGGACGUUUCGUAUGGCUUUGAAGGAAGUGUGGAAUUUACCGGCUGAAGAGACCUUCAAAUUUUCUGGGCCCGACUGGUUUCUUAUUUUAUUGGGUCACUUAAAUCCGACGGUGCGUGAGCAAACGUUAUUCAUGUUCUGGAGAGCUUGA
This 957-nucleotide ribosomal RNA is filed under the name Triticum aestivum (bread wheat). RNAcentral's name for it is "partial small subunit ribosomal RNA". The record is from RNAcentral. Lineage: Eukaryota; Viridiplantae; Streptophyta; Magnoliopsida; Poales; Poaceae.